Oxyura jamaicensis (ruddy duck) is the source of this 3792-nucleotide long non-coding RNA. RefSeq lists it as uncharacterized. NCBI's taxonomy places the organism in Eukaryota, Metazoa, Chordata, Aves, Anseriformes, Anatidae. The transcript has 6 exons. The record is from RefSeq and is a predicted model, not a curated record.
CCCUUUCUAAGUUUAAAAAAUAACUUACCAACUUUGACUUCUGAGUAAUGGCACUGAUUUCAUUUUCCAAAGGUCACAGGGGAAUUUUCUUCUGCCAUCUCUAAAGGGCAUGACAAAUGUUCCUCUAACAAAUAACGAAUUGUUCAACACAAUGCACUUAGCAAUUACCUUGCCAUAAAGGUAUUUACAGCAGGAUUCUGAGCUAAUUUGCCCAGUGUCAUUCUGCCUUCUGCAUGAUUCUAUUUCACGUUUUGGGCAUGGAUUAGCUUCUAGUAUAGUGGGCAGAGGAAUCAACCAUGCAAGAAAUUAGAAGCAAAGACUCUGCAGCUUGUUACUAAAUGCAGAUUCAGCACAAAGAUUGCCAACAUAAAAACCGGGAUCAGUUUGGCAAGAGGAAGCCCACCCGUGGACCAGCAGCAGCAGUGUGUUCACUGGCCUGUGGGUUACAAGUGCAGUGUCACAGCAAACCCGGUUAGACAAGCGCUCACCUGGCUCCCUGACCUCUUCUACUUGGCAGGCUUUUCUUCGCCUUUUUGACUGAAAGACCAACAUGGGAGUGAACGAUGGAAACUAAACUGUCCCUCCAGCCCUCGAACUGCUCCCAGAACAUCCUGGUGCAGGUGUGCUGGCCAGGCAAAGUGAAGGAGAGAUUUCACCGCUCCAGCAUGCAGGCUUGAUGUUCCCUGUAUGGUACAAGGAUUACUCCUUUUCUGUUCAGAAGACUUUGUUGAAAAUUUCCUAGCUGAGUAAGGAAGGCAGCCUUGGUCAUGCCAGUUUUGAUAGGAGAACAUCUGGAAAUCCAGGAUAUCUAGCUACAAACGAAAAUUAAAAAGCAAAUGAGAGAGAACAAGGUCUCCUGCCGCAAAUCCACCUCCAGGGACCGUGAGAUGUGAGCAUACACAACCAUGCUUGCUUGAAAGCCAGCCUUUAGCCCUGCAUAUCCUUUAAUGUCAGCUGGAGCAACACUGGCAUCUGAUUUGUGUGCUUGGCUUACCUGUGCAUGCAAGGCAAAGUGGUCCUUCCUCCUGAGGAGCUCCUCAUCUCCAUCCUGGGGUGUCUGAGUACCCAAAAUGGGCACAGCCUUCACAGACGCAGCAAUGGGACACCAGCUUCGCAUCAUCUUACAGCAGAGGUAUGCCAAGUCUGCUCUAAGUGUUCUUCCCUCCUUGGAGCCAACAAUAGUGUUGUUACAAGAUCACGAAGCAGUUGUCUUCUCAUUUCUGAAAUAUCAGCAAACCCUCCUCCACAAAACUGAAAAUGUUUUGAAUAAUAAAAUGAAGGGUGAGAUUUUUCAGGCUUGGCUGAAAACAACUAGACCCCACUACAACAAAAAGGGAUGGGAUCUUCACAUUGUGAGGGUAAACCCUGCUUGGGAUAACAUAGCUGGGUCCUUUCAGCCUGUCAUGUGCCAAGAAGUGACAGUGGCAGAGGACCUCUGCUGUAAAUGCUGGCCAUGCAGCUGGAUUUGUUUCAGAGAGCUCCUGAGCUGGUCUUCUGUGGGUGUCUGACUGUGUCUUGUUCAGAUGUAAGCCAGUUACCUGAGUUAACAUCUCUGCUUGAGAAGCAGCUGCAAGAUUGAUCUAUAACAGGACAUAAAAGGCAUUGGCAGCAUUGUUUUACUGCAGAUUUGAUUACACACAGAGUACUCACAUCGCACCGGCUUCCCGUUCCAGGAGGUGUUUAUCUCCUUGGUGAGGACUGGCACAGUGCUGUACCACCAAGUCUGGUACAGCUGAGUAAGUGGUUUAGAGUAAUCCUCCUAAGAAAGGUUGCUGUCCUGAAGGGAUUCCUGGGAAGGUUCUCUGCUUGUACCAGGCUUUUAGAUGGCUUUCAGUCAGGUUCCUGAGGGGCUUUUUGGAGUUUGUGCAGCUUUUCUCUGAUGCAGUUCCUACCCAAGAGUUCCUCUCCUCUCUGGGUUGUGGUUGGGUCAGCAAGGCCUGUCACAGAGCUUGAAAAUAAUUGGUAUCGCUGUAUGAAAUAAAACCCAUUGUGUCAUCAGAUGAUCAAGCUGUGUCUCUGGCAAGUAGGCCACUGCACCAUCCAGGUACCUGGAAUAAAGAGCAAACAGGAGCUCCUCAGAGUCACAGUGUUUGAGUCCUAUAUCCUCUCCUCUUAUUUUGUUAAUGGCCACAUAGCAAAAUUCUGGGUCAGGUAAGAAAUACGGUUCUAGUUCACAGGUCUCAAGUGUAGGAAAGACCUUGCAUUAAAAUUACUAAGUGCAAUUUUCCAGUAGGAAAAGAAAGAAAGCAGUCUCUGCUUUAGAGUGAUACUGCUCAACUGAGGUCAUACAUGAUAACCAAAAUAGAAGGUUGUACACAACAACGAAGUAGAAAUGAUGGUAGCUGCAACACGAGCCUUGAUGGUGGGGGAGAUUUUAAGCAGUCCAGAUAUAAAGCAUAUCCUUGGGGCCCUGGCAAGGAUGCAAACUUCUCUCCCACACAACCUCCGUCACUCUUGAAAAGCCAAGUUCUGGAAUUUUAAAAGGCAAAAAUAUUACAGCAAUAGCAACAACAAACAUGCAAAUCAGAUGCUAAAUGACUAGUAAUGAUUUUAUCAAUGUGUUGUGUAAACAGGAGGAAGAGGACAGAGAAAGAAGCACUCAACAUUCUUCAGGUUGAUUUUUUAAUUAUUCAAAAAUUAUCGAUGAGACAGCAAGCUAAGAUCAGGGUUUUGCAGGGAUGUUUCAAUUUUAUAAUGGAAAAAGCAUUGUGGUGUUUGGGGGAGGUGGGCACGUGGACUCUUGCAGUACAAAAGAAGCCAACAUAAGAAUCAAGUUUCAAGACCCUGCGGGAAAUUAGGGUUUUUGUCUAGACAGCUAAUUACAGCUUUUCUUGCAGGACCCAAACGCCCUGGAGCACCUACAGCAGAUUUGCAGCAUGCACUGGUGGACAUCCCAGAGCGGUACCCACAGGGUGGUCGCAUGCCCAGGCCAUCCCACUAACGGUGCUCCAGCACCCACCACGUGCUCUGCUGGGGCAAGCAGAGAUGUGGCAACCAUGUGAAUGUAUUGCAGGGGCUGUGCUCUUUUACCUCUCCAGCUCAGAAAUAAUCCAGAGAGAAGAUCAGACAACUGGGAUACAUAAUUGCUCUGGCCCCCCAGCUGGGCCUCACGUUAUUUGUAGGCGAUGGAGCUGCCACAGGGAUUUCAGGUCAGCUGGUGCUUCUCCCGUGCAAAAUGGCCAGGGCACAAAUCCCAGCUCCGUGUGUGCAAAACUCCUCUUGCUGAGGGAUCAAGCUGCAAAAAGCACCGAGCCUUGUCAGUUAUUGCACUAAAGUGUCAUGAACCUUUAACCUUUACAUUUCUAAAAACCUCUGUAUUUUAAUGCUGCACUGAGAACUGUGAAAAAUGCAGAUCUCCUUUCCUCACGGCACUGCAAGUCUCUCUGUGGAUCAUCCUGUCCAACUUUUCAACUCUGCUCUCAAGCGCUAGGAUUUUCAAGUCUUUUCCCCAUUGACUUCUCUCUGUGGCAGUUUUAAAAAUAAAAAAGCUACGAUAUUUUUCUUCAGAGUGACUUGCUGCCUGCCUUUUACAACUGUUUCUGAGCUGUGGUCUUCACAACUGGUCGAUGGAGCCUAAUUAAAUUGUUUAGCUGACAGACUCAUUGGCUUUGUGCAGAGAUAUGCUGACCCCAUGGAAAAUGUGAAGGUUGGCAAAGGUCAAUAGAGAAUCACUGACUUACCAGGCAUGUCACAUGCAGUGCCUAAAUGCACAUAUUUGAGCACAAAUUUAAGUAUUAUUAUUUAUUUUUUUUUUUUAGAAAUCAUGUUGCAUUGCUAUAUUGUCUGUGCUUU